CUCGACCUGAUAUCAGGCAAGAUUACCCGCUGAAGUUAA
This 39-nucleotide ribosomal RNA is filed under the name Peronospora sp. D2. RNAcentral's name for it is "partial 28S ribosomal RNA". Lineage: Eukaryota; Oomycota; Peronosporomycetes; Peronosporales; Peronosporaceae. The record is from RNAcentral.